RNAcentral lists this ribosomal RNA (782 nucleotides) under Streptomyces mashuensis. RNAcentral describes it as "bacterial SSU rRNA". It matches the Rfam family "Bacterial small subunit ribosomal RNA", at positions 22 to 818 of the family's 1533-position model. Lineage: Bacteria; Bacillati; Actinomycetota; Actinomycetes; Kitasatosporales; Streptomycetaceae. The record is from RNAcentral.
GCUCAGGACGAACGCUGGCGGCGUGCUUAACACAUGCAAGUCGAACGAUGAACCUCCUUCGGGAGGGGAUUAGUGGCGAACGGGUGAGUAACACGUGGGCAAUCUGCCCUGCACUCUGGGACAAGCCCUGGAAACGGGGUCUAAUACCGGAUACGACACGCGACCGCAUGGUCCGCGUGUGGAAAGCUCCGGCGGUGCAGGAUGAGCCCGCGGCCUAUCAGCUUGUUGGUGAGGUAAUGGCUCACCAAGGCGACGACGGGUAGCCGGCCUGAGAGGGCGACCGGCCACACUGGGACUGAGACACGGCCCAGACUCCUACGGGAGGCAGCAGUGGGGAAUAUUGCACAAUGGGCGAAAGCCUGAUGCAGCGACGCCGCGUGAGGGAUGACGGCCUUCGGGUUGUAAACCUCUUUCAGCAGGGAAGAAGCGAAAGUGACGGUACCUGCAGAAGAAGCGCCGGCUAACUACGUGCCAGCAGCCGCGGUAAUACGUAGGGCGCAAGCGUUGUCCGGAAUUAUUGGGCGUAAAGAGCUCGUAGGCGGCUUGUCGCGUCGGAUGUGAAAGCCCGGGGCUUAACCCCGGGUCUGCAUUCGAUACGGGCAGGCUAGAGUUCGGUAGGGGAGAUCGGAAUUCCUGGUGUAGCGGUGAAAUGCGCAGAUAUCAGGAGGAACACCGGUGGCGAAGGCGGAUCUCUGGGCCGAUACUGACGCUGAGGAGCGAAAGCGUGGGGAGCGAACAGGAUUAGAUACCCUGGUAGUCCACGCCGUAAACGUUGGGCACUA